Pseudophryne corroboree (corroboree frog) is the source of this 689-nucleotide long non-coding RNA. RefSeq lists it as uncharacterized. The transcript has 4 exons. Lineage: Eukaryota; Metazoa; Chordata; Amphibia; Anura; Myobatrachidae. The record is from RefSeq and is a predicted model, not a curated record.
UCAGGGAGAGUGAGGAGAGUGUGACACACAUAGACUGAGAGACAGAGUCCUGUGUGUACAAUUGUGCAGAGCUGAGACUGGCAGGAUAUGGGCCCAGCCCCGCGUAUUUGAGUCAUAGCCCAGAACAGAGAUACACAGAACAAAAGAACAACAGAUUAAUUUAAAGAAACAUUUUAUGAGAAGAUGCAUAGCACAGGGCACAGCACGAACUCUGAAAAAUUCAAAGGUUCAGAGAACUACACUACAUGGAAGUUUGUCAUGGAGAUGCAGCUUAAGCGGGAAAAAUUGUGGAAGGUCCCAGGAGCAGGUCCUAACCCAGAUGAUGUAGACAGAGCCAUCGGCAUGAUAGGCUUAGCUGUGGAGCAGCAUGUUUAUUCUAUAUUCAGUGGGAAAGUGUCGGCUAAGGACAUGUGGACAGCCCUUCACUAGGUGUAUGAGGACAGAGGUCUGAUGAGGGCAGACUUGCUGUGUGGAUCUUCUCCGACCUUUCAGAAAUCUCCUGAUAAUUUGCUCUCCGUUUCUGCCUUCGAAAACUUCUUCACAGGCCAUACUGUUCCAGCUCAUUGACACAGUUUCGUCAUACAGUAUUUGACCGACAAAAGACAAAGAAUGCAGACUACCAGAUUUUACGGGAGUGCCAAAACCCACCCAUCAGUGGCACAGAAACUUGCUGCAGUAGUCCCACAAAA